AUUGCUUAGUAGCGGCGAGUGAAGCGGCAAAAGCUCAAAUUUGAAAUCUGGCGCCUUCGGUGUCCGAGUUGUAAUUUGAAGAUUGUAACCUUGGGGUUGGCUCUUGUCUAUGUUUCUUGGAACAGGACGUCACAGAGGGUGAGAAUCCCGUGCGAUGAGAUGCCCAAUUCUAUGUAAGGUGCUUUCGAAGAGUCGAGUUGUUUGGGAAUGCAGCUCUAAGUGGGUGGUAAAUUCCAUCUAAAGCUAAAUAUUGGCGAGAGACCGAUAGCGAACAAGUACAGUGAUGGAAAGAUGAAAAGAACUUUGAAAAGAGAGUGAAAAAGUACGUGAAAUUGUUGAAAGGGAAGGGUUUGAGAUCAGACUCGAUAUUUUGUGAGCCUUGCCUUCGUGGCGGGGUGACCCGCAGCUUAUCGGGCCAGCAUCGGUUUGGGCGGUAGGAUAAUGGCGUAGGAAUGUGACUUUACUUCGGUGAAGUGUUAUAGCCUGCGUUGAUGCUGCCUGCCUAGACCGAGGACUGCGAUUUUAUCAAGGAUGCUGGCAUAAUGAUCCCAAACCGCCCGUCUUGA
RNAcentral lists this ribosomal RNA (566 nucleotides) under Meyerozyma guilliermondii. Its description in RNAcentral is "eukaryotic LSU rRNA". It matches the Rfam family "Eukaryotic large subunit ribosomal RNA", at positions 73 to 657 of the family's 3401-position model. The record is from RNAcentral. Lineage: Eukaryota; Fungi; Ascomycota; Pichiomycetes; Serinales; Debaryomycetaceae.